GGCUUUUUGGCUGCUAGUGUGCAACGGCUCCAAGUGAGGGGGCCCAUGCUCCGCGAAAAUAAUGGAUUGGAGGCAAGUGGACUCUUUCAUUGCUUGGGCCGGGCUCUGCUAAGUAUCGAUAAUCGCUGCAAUCUUAUGGGAAGGAAUUCAAGGCUCCCAACAAGUCGCUUCUGAUUGUUUUCAUGGGGACUGACUAGGUCACUUGAAAUAGAUCUUAAACCCUUGGUCAGUCAGAACAACCUCCGCGCUGCAAAAUUGAUACAGGGAGUCAGUUAAGCUUCU
RNAcentral lists this unclassified non-coding RNA (282 nucleotides) under Hevea brasiliensis (rubber tree). Lineage: Eukaryota; Viridiplantae; Streptophyta; Magnoliopsida; Malpighiales; Euphorbiaceae. The record is from RNAcentral.